Molecule: long non-coding RNA, 1202 nt
Filed under: Zonotrichia albicollis (white-throated sparrow)
Lineage: Eukaryota; Metazoa; Chordata; Aves; Passeriformes; Passerellidae
Description: lncRNA (ENSZALG00000006988.1)
Source: RNAcentral
UUGUUGUCUUUCCUAAAAAAAACUCUGGUCCAGAAGGCAUUCAUCAUAGCAAAAAUCAGUCCAAAUUUCUUUUGCUUUGGAAAGCUGUGAGCACGGGAAAGCAGAAGACCAUAGAAAUUAGAAGGGGCCUAGAUGAAAAUCCAGUCUAGAUCUGCAGAAAGAAGCCAUUCUGCACUGCUAUAAAAGUGACAAAUUUCUUUCAUUUGUAAGACUUCAAUGCCCUCAUAUGUGCAUCUUUACCUGUCUAUGUGUAUAUUUUAUUGUUAAUUUGAGUGCUCCAAAAUCUCUUCCAAAUCAUUCUCAGAAACACAGGAGUUUGAAGUGGUUUUCUGCUUUUUUCCUCCAUACUUGGACACAAGACAAUGGUGAAAUGACCUCAGAAAGCUUUAUGGAAGGGAUUAUGAGAUGUUGUCAUAGCAAAUUACCAGCUCCUGAUCAACACUGGUGUUGGCGCCUCACAAAAGCAAGAAACUCACGAGACAGGAAAAGCCUCUCCAGCAGAAGGGAGAAAGGAGACUCCCCUGCCAGAGCACUUUCCAUAGUGCAGAGAGGAUCCCCAGAGGCUGGGCUGGCUCUGUCUGUUGUCCUCUGUGAGGGUGCCACAUGGGGACACCCCAACCUCCUCUCCAUGUGCCCAGGGUGCUGGGAUUCCCUCAUGUCCUCAGGCUGGGACCUGCAGCCUCUCUCUACAGAACUGUGUCAGAAAGCUGUGGUUUUGACAGCUGGACUGACAACUGUCCUUUGGGAAGGGACUCCAAUGAGCAUGUCAAAGUUGUCAUGCAAAGGGUGACAACUGUCAGAUAACCAUUGUCACUGAUUUCUGUAGUUAUGUUUUUUACAGUUUACAUAAUAUUUUGACUGUGAAAUAUCAUCUAAUUGCAUACUUCCUAGUGGGAAAAAUUGUUAUUUUUUCUCAUUUUUAUUCCGCGUGCUAGAAUGUUUUUCCCAUAGUCUUUUCUUACACCUCCAAGCCUUGCUGUAGUAAUUUAAUAAUUGAUUAACAAGCACUGAAAACAGUAGAACAAUUUAUUCCAACUGUGACAUCCACAUUAGGGGGCUUACUUUGGGGGCAGAUUUUGCUUUCCCAUUUAGAGUUGUAAACUCAGUUUUUCGGUUGCAAAAUAGACCUUUUAGAGCAGCCCCCAUACUGUCUAGCAAACUUCUGAAAUAAAGCUGCAAGUCUUUUAAAAAUCUGUUUUGUC